UGGUUAUGUGUUGGUGGUGGAUAGAGUCACACCGACUUACAAUUGACUAUUUCUCUGCGGUUACAAUUAAAGAUCGUUGUCGAAAUCAACACUAGGGAGAUACCAUUAAAUUUUUACAGGGUAGGGGUGGGGGAGUUGUGGCCAGGAUGAAAAAUGUUGUCCUGCAUUUUUCUUUCAAUGUAAUCUCAAUGUAAAUGUAGUCCUGUUUUUUUUUUAUUUUACACUCUAUUCUGUCCUGCCUUUCUUAGUUAUUAAUGUAUCCUGACUUGUUUUUCAUAAGUUCAUCAUGACUUUUCUUUUUGGCAAGAUGGCCAUACUGCCUUUUUUCUCUUAACUCCUGUCAUGCCUUUUUUCUUUUCAAUUUUCAUACGUCAGACAAACUUCUUCGUGCAUGUGACUUCAUAUAUAUAUA
This 412-nucleotide long non-coding RNA is filed under the name Mytilus galloprovincialis (Mediterranean mussel). Lineage: Eukaryota; Metazoa; Mollusca; Bivalvia; Mytilida; Mytilidae. The record is from RNAcentral.